ACGAACGCUGGCGGCGUGCUUAACACAUGCAAGUCGCACGGAAAGGCCCUGCUUUUGUGGGGUGCUCGAGUGGCGAACGGGUGAGUAACACGUGAGUAACCUGCCCUUGACUUUGGGAUAACUUCAGGAAACUGGGGCUAAUACCGGAUAGGAGCUCCUGCUGCAUGGUGGGGGUUGGAAAGUUUCGGCGGUUGGGGAUGGACUCGCGGCUUAUCAGCUUGUUGGUGGGGUAGUGGCUUACCAAGGCUUUGACGGGUAGCCGGCCUGAGAGGGUGACCGGCCACAUUGGGACUGAGAUACGGCCCAGACUCCUACGGGAGGCAGCAGUGGGGAAUAUUGCACAAUGGGCGGAAGCCUGACGCAGCAACGCCGCGUGCGGGAUGACGGCCUUCGGGUUGUAAACCGCUUUCGCCUGUGACGAAGCGUGAGUGACGGUAAUGGGUAAAGAAGCACCGGCUAACUACGUG
This 467-nucleotide ribosomal RNA is filed under the name uncultured bacterium. RNAcentral's name for it is "partial 16S ribosomal RNA". It matches the Rfam family "Bacterial small subunit ribosomal RNA", at positions 29 to 507 of the family's 1533-position model. The record is from RNAcentral.